UGAUAAAAUGGCUGAGAAUAGGCGAUAGACUGUAAAUUUAUUAACGAGGGGUUCCCCUCUUUUAUCAA
This 68-nucleotide transfer RNA is filed under the name Mesacturoides brevisquamatus. RNAcentral's name for it is "tRNA-Tyr". It matches the Rfam family "tRNA". Rfam says of the family: Transfer RNA (tRNA) molecules are approximately 80 nucleotides in length. Their secondary structure includes four short double-helical elements and three loops (D, anti-codon, and T loops). Further hydrogen bonds mediate the characteristic L-shaped molecular structure. tRNAs have two regions of fundamental functional importance: the anti-codon, which is responsible for specific mRNA codon recognition, and the 3' end, to which the tRNAs corresponding amino acid is attached (by aminoacyl-tRNA synthetases). tRNAs cope with the degeneracy of the genetic code in two manners: having more than one tRNA (with a specific anti-codon) for a particular amino acid; and 'wobble' base-pairing, i.e. permitting non-standard base-pairing at the 3rd anti-codon position. The record is from RNAcentral. Lineage: Eukaryota; Metazoa; Arthropoda; Malacostraca; Stomatopoda; Takuidae.